UACGUAGGGAGCAAGCGUUGUCCGGAAUCAUUGGGCGUAAAGGGCGCGUAGGUGGCUUCUUAAGCGUGCGGUGAAAGCCUGGGGCUCAACCCCGGGUCGGCCGUGCGAACUGGGGGGCUGGAGCACUGUAGAGGCAGGCGGAAUUCCGGGUGUAGCGGUGGAAUGCGUAGAGAUCCGGAAGAACACCGGUGGCGAAGGCGGCCUGCUGGGCAGUUGCUGACACUGAGGCGCGACAGCGUGGGGAGCAAACAGG
Molecule: ribosomal RNA, 253 nt
Filed under: uncultured bacterium
Lineage: Bacteria
Description: partial 16S ribosomal RNA
Rfam family: Bacterial small subunit ribosomal RNA
Source: RNAcentral